CCUACGGGAGGCAGCAGUAAGGAAUAUUGGUCAAUGGGCGCAAGCCUGAACCAGCCAUGCCGCGUGCAGGAUGAAGGACCUAUGGUUUGUAAACUGCUUUUGUGCGAGAGAAGACCCUCCUACGUGUAGGAGGCUGAUAGUAUCGCAAGAAUAAGCAUCGGCUAACUUCGUGCCAGCAGCCGCGGUAAU
RNAcentral lists this ribosomal RNA (189 nucleotides) under uncultured bacterium. RNAcentral describes it as "partial 16S ribosomal RNA". It matches the Rfam family "Bacterial small subunit ribosomal RNA", at positions 338 to 524 of the family's 1533-position model. The record is from RNAcentral.